AUGAUCGAGUAUCUGAAAGGACAAAGAGUUGACCGUGAAAUCUUCAUGACAGUGGAGCAUGAUGUUGUUCUAGAGAUCCUCAAGCAAGUGGUCUUUAGAAGAAAAUUCCAUGGCGCCUCUGUAUACGGCUUUGAUGAUGGCCAACUCAUCAUCUUCUCGGUGUUUACGCUUCAAAAAAUCCUCCCACAUUGA
Molecule: ribosomal RNA, 192 nt
Filed under: Triticum aestivum (bread wheat)
Lineage: Eukaryota; Viridiplantae; Streptophyta; Magnoliopsida; Poales; Poaceae
Description: partial small subunit ribosomal RNA
Source: RNAcentral